Molecule: non-coding RNA, 85 nt
Organism: Podarcis lilfordi (Lilford's wall lizard)
Lineage: Eukaryota; Metazoa; Chordata; Lepidosauria; Squamata; Lacertidae
Source: the annotation of a GenBank genome assembly
AGCUUUGGGAACACUAGCUCAGUCGGUUAGAGCCUGGUGCUGAUAAUGCCAAGGUUGCAGGUUCGAUCCCCAUAAGGGAAAGCUG